AGCGAACGCUGGCGGCAGGCUUAACACAUGCAAGUCGAGCGGGCAUCUUCGGAUGUCAGCGGCAGACGGGUGAGUAACACGUGGGAACGUACCCUUCGGUUCGGAACAACUCUGGGAAACUGGAGCUAAUACCGGAUACGCCCUUAUGGUGAAAGGUUUACUGCCGAAGGAUCGGCCCGCGUCUGAUUAGCUAGUUGGUGGGGUAACGGCCUACCAAGGCGACGAUCAGUAGCUGGUCUGAGAGGAUGAUCAGCCACACUGGGACUGAGACACGGCCCAGACUCCUACGGGAGGCAGCAGUGGGGAAUAUUGGACAAUGGGCGCAAGCCUGAUCCAGCCAUGCCGCGUGAGUGAUGAAGGCCUUAGGGUUGUAAAGCUCUUUUGUCCGGGACGAUAAUGACGGUACCGGAAGAAUAAGCCCCGGCUAACUUCGUG
Molecule: ribosomal RNA, 435 nt
Filed under: uncultured bacterium
Lineage: Bacteria
Description: partial 16S ribosomal RNA
Rfam family: Bacterial small subunit ribosomal RNA
Source: RNAcentral